RNAcentral lists this ribosomal RNA (1473 nucleotides) under uncultured bacterium. RNAcentral's name for it is "bacterial SSU rRNA". It matches the Rfam family "Bacterial small subunit ribosomal RNA". The record is from RNAcentral.
CAAGUCGAACGGAAGUCGUUAUACUGAUUUUGAUAUGAACGGAGAACUUGUUCAAAGGGACUUGAGGAAGAUUUAUAACAAUGGCUUUAGUGGCGGACUGGUGAGUAACGCGUGAGCAACCUGCCUAUUAGAGGGGAACAACAGUUAGAAAUGACUGCUAAUACCGCAUAUGCCUAAGUACCACAUGGUACAAUAGGGAAAGGAGUAAUCCGCUAAUAGAUGGGCUCGCGUCUGAUUAGAUAGUUGGUGGGGUAACGGCCUACCAAGUCGACGAUCAGUAGCCGGACUGAGAGGUUCAACGGCCACAUUGGGACUGAGAUACGGCCCAGACUCCUACGGGAGGCAGCAGUCGGGAAUAUUGCGCAAUGGAGGAAACUCUGACGCAGUGACGCCGCGUGCAGGAAGAAGGUUUUCGGAUUGUAAACUGCUUUAGACAGGGAAGAAAAAGACAGUACCUGUAGAAUAAGCUCCGGCUAACUACGUGCCAGCAGCCGCGGUAAUACGUAGGGAGCGAGCGUUAUCCGGAUUUAUUGGGUGUAAAGGGUGCGUAGACGGGAAGGCAAGUUGGUUGUGAAAUCCCCAGGCUUAACUUGGGAACUGCAACCAAAACUAUCUUCCUUGAGUGCUGGAGAGGAAAGUGGAAUUCUAGUGUAGCGGUGAAAUGCGUAGAUAUUAGGAGGAACACCAGUGGCGAAGGCGACUUUCUGGACAGUAACUGACGUUGAGGCACGAAAGUGUGGGGAGCAAACAGGAUUAGAUACCCUGGUAGUCCACACCGUAAACGAUGGAUACUAGGUGUAGGGUGUGAUAAACGCUCUGUGCCGUCGCAAACGCAAUAAGUAUCCCACCUGGGGAGUACGGCCGCAAGGUUGAAACUCAAAGGAAUUGACGGGGGCCCGCACAAGCAGUGGAGUAUGUGGUUUAAUUCGACGCAACGCGAAGAACCUUACCAGGGCUUGACAUAUACAGGAAUAUAUUAGAGAUAAUAUAGCUCUUCGGAGUCUGUAUACAGGUGGUGCAUGGUUGUCGUCAGCUCGUGUCGUGAGAUGUUGGGUUAAGUCCCGCAACGAGCGCAACCCCUGUUCUCAGUUGCCAGCACAUAAUGGUGGGAACUCUGAGAAGACUGCCGGUGAUAAAUCGGAGGAAGGUGGGGACGACGUCAAAUCAUCAUGCCCUUUAUGUCCUGGGCUACACACGUACUACAAUGGCUGUAACAAAGGGAAGCGAAAGAGCAAUCUGGAGCAAAACCCAAAAAAGCAGUCUCAGUUCGGAUUGAAGGCUGAAAUUCGCCUUUAUGAAGCCGGAAUUGCUAGUAAUGGCAGGUCAGCAUACUGCCGUGAAUACGUUCCCGGGCCUUGUACACACCGCCCGUCACACCAUGAGAGUUGGGAAUACCCGAAGCCUGCGAGCUAACUUUUAGAGGCAGCAGUCGAAGGUAGAAUCAAUGAUUGGGGUGAAGUCGUAACAAGGUAA